Molecule: ribosomal RNA, 1324 nt
Filed under: Enterococcus faecalis
Lineage: Bacteria; Bacillati; Bacillota; Bacilli; Lactobacillales; Enterococcaceae
Description: partial 23S ribosomal RNA
Rfam family: Bacterial large subunit ribosomal RNA
Source: RNAcentral
AGUACGGCGGAACACGAGAAAUUCCGUCGGAAUCCGCGGGGACCAUCCCGCAAGGCUAAAUACUCCCUAGUGACCGAUAGUGAACCAGUACCGUGAGGGAAAGGUGAAAAGCACCCCGGAAGGGGAGUGAAAUAGAUCCUGAAACCGUGUGCCUACAACAAGUCAAAGCUCGUUAAUGAGUGAUGGCGUGCCUUUUGUAGAAUGAACCGGCGAGUUACGAUUGCAUGCGAGGUUAAGUCGAAGAGACGGAGCCGCAGCGAAAGCGAGUCUGAAUAGGGCGAAUGAGUAUGUAGUCGUAGACCCGAAACCAUGUGAUCUACCCAUGUCCAGGUUGAAGGUGCGGUAAAACGCACUGGAGGACCGAACCCACGUACGUUGAAAAGUGCGGGGAUGAGGUGUGGGUAGCGGAGAAAUUCCAAACGAACUUGGAGAUAGCUGGUUCUCUCCGAAAUAGCUUUAGGGCUAGCCUCGGAAUUGAGAAUGAUGGAGGUAGAGCACUGUUUGGACUAGGGGCCCAUCUCGGGUUACCGAAUUCAGAUAAACUCCGAAUGCCAUUCAUUUAUAUCCGGGAGUCAGACUGCGAGUGAUAAGAUCCGUAGUCGAAAGGGAAACAGCCCAGACCACCAGCUAAGGUCCCAAAAUAUAUGUUAAGUGGAAAAGGAUGUGGGGUUGCACAGACAACUAGGAUGUUGGCUUAGAAGCAGCCACCAUUUAAAGAGUGCGUAAUAGCUCACUAGUCGAGUGACCCUGCGCCGAAAAUGUACCGGGGCUAAACAUAUUACCGAAGCUGUGGACUACACCAUUAGGUGUAGUGGUAGGAGAGCGUUCUAAGGGCGUUGAAGGUCGAUCGUGAGGACGGCUGGAGCGCUUAGAAGUGAGAAUGCCGGUAUGAGUAGCGAAAGACAGGUGAGAAUCCUGUCCACCGUAUGACUAAGGUUUCCUGGGGAAGGCUCGUCCGCCCAGGGUUAGUCGGGACCUAAGCCGAGGCCGAUAGGCGUAGGCGAUGGACAACAGGUUGAUAUUCCUGUACCAGUUGUUUUUGUUUGAGCAAUGGAGGGACGCAGUAGGCUAAGGAAUGCAUGCGAUUGGAAGUGCAUGUCCAAGCAAUGAGUCUUGAGUAGAGUUAAAUGCUUUACUCUCUAAGGACAAGUUGUGACGGGGAGCGAAAUAAUAGUAGCGAAGUUCCUGAUGUCACACUGCCAAGAAAAGCUUCUAGUGAGAAAACAACUGCCCGUACCGUAAACCGACACAGGUAGUCGAGGAGAGUAUCCUAAGGUGAGCGAGCGAACUCUCGUUAAGGAACUCGGCAAAAUGACCCCGUAAC